RNAcentral lists this ribosomal RNA (385 nucleotides) under uncultured bacterium. Its description in RNAcentral is "bacterial SSU rRNA". It matches the Rfam family "Bacterial small subunit ribosomal RNA", at positions 30 to 412 of the family's 1533-position model. The record is from RNAcentral.
AUUGAACGCUGGCGGCAUGCCUUACACAUGCAAGUCGAACGGCAGCACGGGAGCUUGCUCCUGGUGGCGAGUGGCGAACGGGUGAGUAAUACAUCGGAACGUACCCUGAAGUGGGGGAUAACGUAGCGAAAGUUACGCUAAUACCGCAUAUUCUGUGAGCAGGAAAGAGGGGGAUCGCAAGACCUCUUGCUUUAGGAGCGGCCGAUGUCGGAUUAGCUAGUUGGUGAGGUAAAGGCUCACCAAGGCGACGAUCCGUAGCGGGUCUGAGAGGAUGAUCCGCCACACUGGGACUGAGACACGGCCCAGACUCCUACGGGAGGCAGCAGUGGGGAAUUUUGGACAAUGGGCGCAAGCCUGAUCCAGCCAUGACCGCGUGAGUGAAGAA